CCUACGGGAGGCAGCAGUGAGGAAUAUUGGUCAAUGGGCGGAAGCCUGAACCAGCCAAGUAGCGUGCAGGAUGACGGCCCUACGGGUUGUAAACUGCUUUUAUACGGGAAUAACGCGCCUUACGUGUAGGUCUUUGCAUGUACCGUAUGAAUAAGGACCGGCUAAUUCCGUGCCAGCAGCCGCGGUAAUACGGAAGGUCCGGGCGUUAUCCGGAUUUAUUGGGUUUAAAGGGAGCGUAGGCCGCAUGUCAAGCGUGUUGUGAAAGUUUCGGGCUCAACCCGGGCCUUGCAGUGCGUACUGGCGGUCUUGAGUCCGCUGAAGGUAGGCGGAAUUCGUGGUGUAGCGGUGAAAUGCUUAGAUAUGACGAAGAACCCCGAUUGCGAAGGCAGCUUGCUGCAGUGGAACUGACGCUGAUGCUCGAAAGCGUGGGUAUCGAACAGGAUUAGAUACCCCUGUAGUC
Molecule: ribosomal RNA, 460 nt
Filed under: uncultured bacterium
Lineage: Bacteria
Description: partial 16S ribosomal RNA
Rfam family: Bacterial small subunit ribosomal RNA
Source: RNAcentral